UGGUCUUGACAUCCCGAGAAUCUCCUGGAAACAGGAGAGUGCUUUCAUUAGAGAGAACUUGGUGAC
RNAcentral lists this ribosomal RNA (66 nucleotides) under uncultured bacterium. RNAcentral describes it as "partial 16S ribosomal RNA". The record is from RNAcentral.